RNAcentral lists this ribosomal RNA (116 nucleotides) under Bacillus cereus. Lineage: Bacteria; Bacillati; Bacillota; Bacilli; Caryophanales; Bacillaceae. The record is from RNAcentral. RNAcentral also lists the same sequence under 3 other names.
UCUGGUAAUGAUGGCAGAGAGGUCACACCCGUUCCCAUACCGAACACGGAAGUUAAGCUCUCUAGCGCCGAUGGUAGUUGGGACCUUGUUCCUGUGAGAGUAGGACGUUGCCAGGC